Molecule: long non-coding RNA, 672 nt
Filed under: Microcebus murinus (gray mouse lemur)
Lineage: Eukaryota; Metazoa; Chordata; Mammalia; Primates; Cheirogaleidae
Description: lncRNA (ENSMICG00000048565.1)
Source: RNAcentral
UCUAACUUUAGGAUGCAGGGAUUUCUUCUCCACAGACUCUGGCUGAAUGGAUUGUUUGGCAAUUUCACAGUGAAUAUCCAUUCAGAAAAUGAAUUUCCAGCAGUGAAAAUCAGUGUGUUGCAGCCAAUCAACCUAUUACAGCAGAAACCCAGAUGAAGAAAAACAUUACAAGGCAAGUGGUACCAUAACUGAUGAAUAAUAAUGUCAAAUAAAAAGGCUGAGAAUUGAGUAGUGCAUCCCCUGAAACCUCAAAAACAAAAUUCAUUAUGCUAAGAAAUUAACCAAAUGCAUUUGUUAUUUUGUAAUAGAAACUUGCACUUGGCUAAUUGAAGCUCUCACUAUCUCUCUUUCCCACAGAGCCCAUGAAAUAUCAGAAGUGACUAUAGGAUUAUGGAUAACCAAUAUAAUAACAUCAUAAAAAAGAAGGAAAUGGCAAUUGAAAUUCUUUUGAAGAUUCUGAAAUCUAAUGCCACUUAUCCCCUACUGCCUCUCUGCAGAUUCCUAAUGCUGUUCUUGUGGGAGGACGAUCUACUCAUGUGUAGCUGUCAGCGUUCUUCGCCUGUUACUCUGGGAGCAGAGAGCCAGGAGGUCACCACUGAUCUGCCAUUUUCCACAAGUUCUCAGCAUAGUCUCGAAAGAUGUUCAAAUAUGGACUGCAUUGUACAUUUGUAA